AUUGAACGCUGGCGGCAUGCUUUACACAUGCAAGUCGGACGGCAGCGGGGGUGCUUGCACCUGCCGGCGAGUGGCGAACGGGUGAGUAACAUAUUGGAAUGUACCGAGUAGUGGGGGAUAACCAAUCGAAAGAUUGGCUAAUACCGCAUACGUCCUGAGGGGGAAAGCAGGGGAUCUUCGGACCUUGCGCUAUUUGAGCAGCCAAUAUCUGAUUAGCUAGUUGGUGGGGUAAAGGCCCACCAAGGCGACGAUCAGUAGCGGGUCUGAGAGGAUGAUCCGCCACACUGGGACUGAGACACGGCCCAGACUCCUACGGGAGGCAGCAGUGGGGAAUUUUGGACAAUGGGGGCAACCCUGAUCCAGCCAUGCCGCGUGUCUGAAGAAGGCCUUCGGGUUGUAAAGGACUUUUGUUAGGGAAGAAAAGGGAAGUGCUAAUACCACUUUUUGCUGACGGUACCUAAAGAAUAAGCACCGGCUAACUACGUGCCAGCAGCCGCGGUAAUACGUAGGGUGCGAGCGUUAAUCGGAAUUACUGGGCGUAAAGCGAGCGCAGACGGUUACUUAAGCAGGAUGUGAAAUCCCCGGGCUCAACCUGGGAACUGCGUUCUGAACUGGGUAGCUAGAGUAUGUCAGAGGGGGUAGAAUUCCACGUGUAGCAGUGAAAUGCGUAGAGAUGUGGAGGAAUACCGAUGGCGAAAGGCAGCCCCCUGGGAUAAUACUGACGUUCAUGCUCGAAAGCGUGGGUAGCAAACAGG
RNAcentral lists this ribosomal RNA (755 nucleotides) under uncultured Neisseriaceae bacterium. Its description in RNAcentral is "bacterial SSU rRNA". It matches the Rfam family "Bacterial small subunit ribosomal RNA", at positions 28 to 776 of the family's 1533-position model. Lineage: Bacteria; Pseudomonadati; Pseudomonadota; Betaproteobacteria; Neisseriales; Neisseriaceae. The record is from RNAcentral.